CCUACGGGAGGCAGCAGUGGGGAAUAUUGGACAAUGGGCGAAAGCCUGAUCCAGCAAUGCCGCGUGAGUGAUGAAGGCCUUAGGGUUGUAAAGCUCUUUUACCAGGGAUGAUAAUGACAGUACCUGGAGAAUAAGCUCCGGCUAACUCCGUGCCAGCAGCCGCGGUAAUACGGAGGGAGCUAGCGUUGUUCGGAAUUACUGGGCGUAAAGCGUACGUAGGCGGUUAUUCAAGUCAGAGGUGAAAGCCCGGGGCUCAACCCCGGAACUGCCUUUGAAACUAGAUAGCUAGAAUCUUGGAGAGGUUAGUGGAAUUCCGAGUGUAGAGGUGAAAUUCGUAGAUAUUCGGAAGAACACCAGUGGCGAAGGCGACUAACUGGACAAGUAUUGACGCUGAGGUACGAAAGCGUGGGGAGCAAACAGGAUUAGAUACCCUGGUAGUCCACGCCGUAAACGAUGAUAACUAGUUGUUCGGGCACUUGGUGCCUGAGUGACGCAGCUAACGCAUUAAGUUAUCCGCCUGGGGAUACGGUCGCAAGAUUAAAACUCAAAGGAAUUGACGGCUGAGACGNGCGAGACGACGACGAGGAGAG
Molecule: ribosomal RNA, 590 nt
Filed under: uncultured bacterium
Lineage: Bacteria
Description: bacterial SSU rRNA
Rfam family: Bacterial small subunit ribosomal RNA
Source: RNAcentral